Lagopus muta (rock ptarmigan) is the source of this 3114-nucleotide long non-coding RNA. RefSeq lists it as uncharacterized. The transcript is spliced from 2 exons. Lineage: Eukaryota; Metazoa; Chordata; Aves; Galliformes; Phasianidae. The record is from RefSeq and is a predicted model, not a curated record.
GAUGGAGGCAAAGUUCAGAUGUUUGAGGAGUUACAGAUGUACUGAUGGCAUGGGACAACCACACAGUCAUAUCAGGCUGGAUAUUAGGAAGAGUUUCUUAUCUGAAAGAGUGGUGAAUUAUUUGCACAGGCUGCCCAGGGGAAGAUGGGGAAUCUUUGUCCCUGGUGGUGUUCCAGAAAGGUGAGGAAAAGGACAAGAGGCUCUGAAUAUCAGAGCAAUAGAGGCUGCUCUCACCUGCUGCACUGCUGAGUUCCUGCGGUGUACAUUAACAUCAUGAGCAAAAUGCUGUUUUCUGGAGAGAAACGGAAAGAUGGGCUUUGGGUCAGAAGAUCCAGGGAAGCUUUUUCUGUGGGAGCCCUAAAGCUGUUAUCUUCUGGCUCAGGAGCUGACUUGUGUCACGAUAAAACAAUUCCCUCCCCUUGCUAGAUUGACACACUUUUAAAUUUACUACAUCUUUCCAAGUGAAGGCAGCAGGUAUGGGACAGGAGUAGAAUUUCUCAGGGUUUCACACCCAUUUGCCACAUCACUUUGUCGUGUUUCUGACCACUCCUAUUCUGGGUGCACAGGUCGAGAUGUGGAAAGCAAUGGGACAUCUGAAUGUGCCUCAUUGUCACCAUCUCCACCUCCCCCCCCAUCCCACUCAGCCUUCCUUCCUGUUGCACAGUCCAUCCCUGCAGGGCUGCUUCUGUUCUUGGAAAUAUGUUUUGGAGAUCAUGGAAUCCUUAGAGUUGGAAGGGACCUUUAAAGGUCAUCUAGUCCAACUCCCCUGCAAUGAACAGGGACAUGCACAGCUAGAUCAGGUUGCCAUUCUUGAUGCCAUCUUGCUGUGGUUGACAAUGGAAGAGCUCAGAGAUCGGCACAUCUUGUUCCCCCUUCAAGGAAACCCAGGUGAAGAAGUGAAAGGUAACUUAUUUCAUUCCUUGACCACCCCAGGCUGGAGGGUGUGAACUUGUGGGGUGGUCUAAAACACCCUGCAGCACAAUGAAAACCCUUCAUUCAUAGCACCUGAGCCUUGUUGGGUGCAGGGGGUGUGGAUGUGCACCCAGUGGGCCAGGGUCUGCUGUCCCCAUCCAUGUGAAACCAUUGGUGUUUCCCUUGCAGCACAGAAGCUCCCCAGGUGGAAAGCAAACCCCCUCACUCAGCUGCAUGCAUCCCCAGCGUGGCCCUGGUGGAUUUUAGUGCUGCCCCACUGCCAGCCCCAUGGCACGGUGCUCACAUGCCCAGUGCAACCAGUUCUCUCUGGGGCAAUGGGCCACUCCAGGGCAGGAAUCUGCAGCUUUAAGGCACAGCCUGGCUGCAGAGCAGGUUGCUCUUCUCAUCCUCCUGUGAUCUGCCAGAGUCAACUUAGCUGAGAGUAAUUAGUGUGGUUAUCAAGGGAAGAGGUGGAUUAAUGUGGGAAAGUCAUUGAUGAAGGCAGAGAAGGGCAGAUGCUUUCCUGGAGUCCCCAAUCAAUACAGACCUUGGAGGAUGAAUGCGGGCUUCAAAGAAAAGCAUCAGUGAACAAUUGAAUGCUUUCAGCUCCCGGAUGGCUGCUCUGCCUGAAGCAAUGAGUGAAAUACAGCACCAGGCACCCUGCACCUCUCGCAAUUAUCCCUUACUCGUGCCACUGAAGGACCCUCUGCCCAUCAGGCACCCCUGUGAGAAGAGUGCUGGUGGCAGGGAGGUGGGCGCUGAGGAGGAGGCUGUGAAUUUGUGCCCAAGUCGUGGUUGUGCUCCCUGGAACUUCUGUGCUCUUUGCCCUGUGUGUUGGCCUGUGCUGGUCCCCACACAACGCCUGUGCCAGCCCUGCAGAGUCCCCUCCUCCUGCUCUGUUUUGCUUUGCUUUAAUUGUGCCAUGUGGAAAGUGGGUCAGGAGGAGCUGGGAAGGCAGCAUGCUUUGUGCAGGAGAUCUGCUGCCUUGAGUAGCGGUGACACCGGGCUGGUGGCCACCAUAUCUCCCAUUGCCAGCAGUCCUGCCUGCAGUCCAUGUGGCCCAGAACUGCUCUUUGUAGGCUUUGUAGGCCUGGAAGGUGCAGAGAGGUGCUCUUCCAUUGCUCUGCUGGAGACACAGAAUGCUCCAGCUGCCUGCUGUGCCACUCUGCAGCAUGCAGCAGCUUUACUCGAAAGCCGAGCAGGGUGUGAUGGUGCUGCAGAGAGGGGGGGGGGAAAAAAAGCAAAAUAAAACAAAUCACAGCACGUUUCUUUUUUGAGCUCCCAGCCCCUUCUCUGUCAUCCCUGCUGGAAUGCGCCUCCGAAUUCCUCUCUGCGUGCUGCUGCUGGCUUUGCCUCUGAUUAUUUGCAGCGAUUGCGUUUUUCCCACACUCCGGAUCACGGUGAGGGAUCACCCAUGGCUCUGUGCCGGCUCCCUAUCAGCCCCAGCACAGUGUGCAAGCGCGGGCGAAGCAGCAAGUCAAGAGCUCUGGUGGAGUGCAGUGGGCGCUGCGUGAUUCGGAUCUGAAUCACCCCGUGUCAGGGCAGCUCCCCUCUGCUCUCAGCCCAGCACCUGCACCAGGUGCUCGGUGGGCAGCUCCUUCACCCCUCAUGCUGCACGUCCAUGGGGUUGAGCAGGGCAAGAGGUGGAGAUGGAGCUCUUGUCUUUGAUGUGCUCCUCGUCGCUUUGGUCUCUGUCUCCAUUUCAGAUGUCUUCACUUGCUGGCAAAGCUUUGGGAAUGCUCCUUCACCCGAGCAGCUGGGUUUUUGCUCUCAGUGUCCUGUGAUGAGGGAAGAAGUGGCAGCAGGGAUUGUUUUUAACUCCUGCACGUUGUUUUUUCUGCUGAAACUGAGUUCCCUGCUCUGUGCACGCAGGGCAGCUGUGGUUUCCAUUAGCCUGGACACAAAGGAGAGGUGCCCAUGCCCGGGUGUUGGGAUGUCACAAAAAUGGCUGGGACCAGCUGUGGCCCAUUCCCAAUUCCAUGAACGUGGAAGGCAGGACCCACCUAUGCUCUCCAUUGUAUUAGCCAAGCACCUGGCAGCCAUUUCCACUCUCAGCAGCUUAAGGUGCCCUUUUAGAGCCCCAAAGACCUCCAGGAGGUCAGGAUGCAUUUGCAAGCCAAGCACCAAAAAUCCAGGCACGCCAAAGCAGCCUCCGCUCUCUCCUAUUGAUGUGCUACAUUUUCCAAAGUGACUCCAUAAAUA